This 281-nucleotide long non-coding RNA is filed under the name Mytilus galloprovincialis (Mediterranean mussel). The record is from RNAcentral. Lineage: Eukaryota; Metazoa; Mollusca; Bivalvia; Mytilida; Mytilidae.
AAAAUUUUUAAGUUUUUAAGUUUAAGUUCUUAGACCACAUUCAUUCUGUGUCAGAAACCUAUGUUGUGUCAACUAUUUAAUCACAAUCCAAAUUCAGAGCUGUAUCAAGCUUAAAUGUUGUGUCCAUACUUGCCCCAACUGUUCAAGGUUCGACCUCUGUGGUUGUAUAAAGCUGCGCCCUGCGGAGCAUCUGGUUGAUUAUGGGCCCAGUUUUCAAGUUGGUCCAAAUCGGGGUCCAAAAUUAAACUUUGUUUGAUUUCAACAAAAAUUGAAUAUAUGGG